GAGGGUAGAGCUCAGUGGUAGAGCGCAAGCUUAGCAGGGCACAAGGUCCUGGGUUCAAUCCCCAGUACCUCCA
RNAcentral lists this transfer RNA (73 nucleotides) under Camelus bactrianus (Bactrian camel). It matches the Rfam family "tRNA". From Rfam's summary of the family: Transfer RNA (tRNA) molecules are approximately 80 nucleotides in length. Their secondary structure includes four short double-helical elements and three loops (D, anti-codon, and T loops). The record is from Rfam by way of RNAcentral. RNAcentral also lists the same sequence under 2 other names. Lineage: Eukaryota; Metazoa; Chordata; Mammalia; Artiodactyla; Camelidae.